This 59-nucleotide transfer RNA is filed under the name Myxococcales bacterium. Its description in RNAcentral is "tRNA-Pro". It matches the Rfam family "tRNA", at positions 8 to 63 of the family's 71-position model. Rfam says of the family: Transfer RNA (tRNA) molecules are approximately 80 nucleotides in length. The record is from RNAcentral. Lineage: Bacteria; Pseudomonadati; Myxococcota; Myxococcia; Myxococcales.
UAGCGCAGUCUGGUAGCGCGCCUGCUUUGGGAGCAGGAUGUCGCAGGUUCGAAUCCUGU